Long non-coding RNA from Leopardus geoffroyi (Geoffroy's cat), 1079 nucleotides. RefSeq lists it as uncharacterized. The transcript has 2 exons. The record is from RefSeq and is a predicted model, not a curated record. Lineage: Eukaryota; Metazoa; Chordata; Mammalia; Carnivora; Felidae.
CCCCUGCUUAUGUGCACGAGCUCUCUUUCUCAAAAUAAAUUAAUAGACUUAAAAAGUUUAAGACUCACUAGCAAAAUAGUGCAAAAUACCAAGUUAGCUUGACAAAAAUCUCUGCAUUUGGGAAAAAGAUUUUUAAACUGAAUAUUCUGAGAAAGCAUUUAAAACACAUAAAGGUCUCAAAUCUUUGUGAUAGGCAGUUCUGAAAGAAAGACCCUGAGGUGAUACAAUGACCAAAGAAAUAAUGGAAGAAUACCUCUGAGCUGAAGAAAGCCUUGAAUUUCAAGAUCAAAGGGGACCAGAAAGUCUUCACCAGGAAUAUAUUUAAAAAGCAGGAAAACCUGCAUGAAUUUCUGCAUGCAUCCUGAUGACUUUUCUAAGUAUUCAGGAUAAAGAAAAAGCCCUGCAAGGUAGAAAAACAAGUAAUCUUUAGAGAAGAACCAAUGACAUUUGCAUCAGACAAAUGCACUCUGACAUUGGAUGCCAGAAGAUAAUGGAGAAAUGUCACCCAAGAGCUGAGAGAAAUGGAAUAGGUGUAGAAAGUAGGUUUGGGCAGUGAAGCCAAAUACAAUCUAGAGUUAACGCUAAAUAGUUAUAAUUAUACUUGUAAACCUUACUUAAAUGAUAAAUAUUUUUGAAAUAAUUGCACAUGUUAAAAAAUAUGGAUGCAAAGUUCUAGCUUAUUUCAAGAAGAUUUGGGGGAUUGAGCUGUAGGAAGAGAGAAGUGAAACCUAUAGCAAUUGUACUAUAUAUUUACCAGUAGGGAUUUAUUAAUAAAUAUUUUCACAUUAAUAGAAAUAUAUAAGUCCAAACAUGCUUUUGCAAAAUUUUAAGACUAAUUCCUGGUAAAAUAGGAAUGGUGCUUUUACUUCUAAAUUACUGGAAGUAAAGAGGAACAAAGAAAAUGUGAUUAAUACAGAAAAAAACGGGGAAAAGGAAAUAAGGAAGCGUAACAUAGAAAACAGCUAAUCAUUUCUGGGUGAAAGAAUAAAUCAAGACUGCCAUUAAAGACUAGAAAAUAAUGAGAUGACACUAUUCUAAACUUAGAGGAUUUGAAGUUUAGAAGUUUGGACAGUCUUUAA